AUUGAACGCUGGCGGCAGGCUUAACACAUGCAAGUCGAGCGGAGAUGAGGUGCUUGCACCUUAUCUUAGCGGCGGACGGGUGGGUAAUACUUAGGAAUCUGCCUAUUAGUGGGGGACAACAUUCCGAAAGGAAUGCUAAUACCGCAUACGUCCUACGGGAGAAAGCAGGGGAUCUUCGGACCUUGCGCUAAUAGAUGAGCCUAAGUCGGAUUAGCUAGUUGGUGGGGUAAAGGCCUACCAAGGCGACGAUCUGUAGCGGGUCUGAGAGGAUGAUCCGCCACGCUGGGACUGAGACACGGCCCAGACUCCUACGGGAGGCAGCAGUGGGGAAUAUUGGACAAUGGGGGAAACCCUGAUCCAGCCAUGCCGCGUGUGUGAAGAAGGCCUUAUGGUUGUAAAGCACUUUAAGCGAGGAGGAGGCUACUGAGACUAAUACUCUUGGAUAGUGGACGUUACUCGCAGAAUAAGCACCGGCUAACUCUGUGCCAGCCGCCGCAGUAA
This 501-nucleotide ribosomal RNA is filed under the name uncultured bacterium. RNAcentral describes it as "partial 16S ribosomal RNA". It matches the Rfam family "Bacterial small subunit ribosomal RNA", at positions 30 to 523 of the family's 1533-position model. The record is from RNAcentral.